UUUUUUAUGAAAGAUUUGGGUGAAGCAUCCUAUAUACUAGGUAUAAAAAUCUAUAGGGAUAGAUCUAAGAGGAUGUUAGGUGUUGCCCAGCUAUGCAACCCAAGAGGGGGGGUGAAUUGGAUUUCUAAAAAUUUUAGGCUUAAUUAAUUACUUAUGAUGAACAAAACAAAGACUUUAAUUCAAUAUUAAUUACCUAAAGCAGGAAUGCAAGGAUAUAAUAAAGAAAU
RNAcentral lists this long non-coding RNA (227 nucleotides) under Elaeis guineensis (African oil palm). RNAcentral's name for it is "long non-coding RNA (EGUI_LNC044120)". The record is from RNAcentral. Lineage: Eukaryota; Viridiplantae; Streptophyta; Magnoliopsida; Arecales; Arecaceae.